Molecule: transfer RNA, 73 nt
Filed under: Lachnospiraceae bacterium
Lineage: Bacteria; Bacillati; Bacillota; Clostridia; Lachnospirales; Lachnospiraceae
Description: tRNA-Ala
Rfam family: tRNA
About the family: Transfer RNA (tRNA) molecules are approximately 80 nucleotides in length. Their secondary structure includes four short double-helical elements and three loops (D, anti-codon, and T loops).
Source: RNAcentral
GGGGGUAUAGCUCAGCUGGGAGAGCGCUUGCAUGGCAUGCAAGAGGCCGUGGGUUCAAGUCCCAUUAUCUCCA